This is a non-coding RNA of Hordeum vulgare subsp. vulgare (domesticated barley), 215 nucleotides long. NCBI's taxonomy places the organism in Eukaryota, Viridiplantae, Streptophyta, Magnoliopsida, Poales, Poaceae. The record is from Rfam.
GACGAACAACUGCGAAAGCAUUUGCCAAGGAUGUUUUCAUUAAUCAAGAACGAAAGUUGGGGGCUCGAAGACGAUCAGUUGCCGUCCUAGUCUCAACCAUAAACGAUGCCGACCAGGGAUCGGCGGAUGUUGCUUAUAGGACUCCGCCGGCACCUUAUGAGAAAUCAAAGUCUUUGGGUUCCGGGGGGAGUAUGGUCGCAAGGCUGAAACUUAAA